RNAcentral lists this long non-coding RNA (32783 nucleotides) under Populus tremula. Its description in RNAcentral is "long non-coding RNA (PTRE_LNC003209)". The record is from RNAcentral. Lineage: Eukaryota; Viridiplantae; Streptophyta; Magnoliopsida; Malpighiales; Salicaceae.
GCUCCAAGCGAAGGGUCUCUAGUGUCGAUCAAGAGGCUGCGAAGACCUUUUGCUUUGUGAAUGGACACGGGAAAAGAGGUCUCUUGACAGCAUCAUGCUUAAAUGACGAACCCUUUCAAUUGAAGUCUCCAUUGUUGCUCCUGAAGGUUAUUGACAUCCACUGUUAGACAUUCAUUUUUUGUCAUAUAUUGGGCAAAAUCAUGCACUAUAUCAUGCAUCUUGAAUCUAAUAUCUUCUGAUCAUACGUCUUAAAUCUUGGAAGAAAGAGCGCGCUGCUAAGACUUGAAAGUACUGCUCUCCAACAAGCUCCAUAUCUCCACCUGAAGUCUCCUUGAGGUAACCUUGAGCUAUCCACAUCUUCACCAAUUCUAUUUCCCAUCUCGUAGUCUUUUGGAAACAUGGCACAAUACAAGAAACAUCGUCUUACCACAGAAGGUAAAUCGUAGUAACUCAAAAGCAAAGGUAGAAAUAUUCCUCUUUCAACCUGAUCUCUAUCAACCUCAUCUAGCCCCACAAUUCGCUAGAUAAAACACGCUCCCACUCUUCUCUUGUUCUUUUAGACUGCAUUAGACCUCCUAAUACCUUGGCAGCUAGAGGCAAGCCCUUGCACUUGCUUGCAAUUUUUCGCCGAUAUCUGUCAAUCUUUCGCGCUCAUCUUUGCUUCUUUCCUGGAAUGCCACAUGAUUGAAUAUUGACCUGCAUAUCUCAUCGGACAAUUUCUCAAUGUUGAUCCGGUGGUCAGUUCCCAUCAUCGUUGCCACAGAAUGUUUACGAGUGGUCACUAGAAUUCUGCUUCCUGGUGCACGCCUGUGAGAGAUGGUUUCAGUUGUUCCCAUUGUCCAUGAUUUUCUGUCCAUACAUCAUCAAGGACAAGAAGGAACCUCUUUCCCUUAAUGGAUUCAGAAACCCUUUGCAAAAGGGAUUGCAAUUCAACCAAAUCGUGCCUCCCUUCAAGCUGCUCAAGGAUAGCUUUGGCUAUUCUAACCUCAUCAAAUGGAUCUGAACACACACCCAUAUCUUUUUCUCAAAAUGAGCCGUAACCUCAGCAUCAUUAAAAGCUAGUUGGGCGAGAGUUGUUUUUCCAAUUCCGCCCAGCCCUACUAGAGAGAUGACAUCCACGUCCCGUGCUUCCUGACUACUUUCCCAGCAACUUGCUUACUACAGCUUCCCUUUCAUCAUCUCGACCAUCACGAUUGAUUCAUCAACAAGGGAGGUACUUGUUAUUCGUUGGAGUUCAUCAGUGGCUCUGUACAACUCAAAGCCAUACAUAGCUCUCUCUUUGGCAAUCUCAUCCACUUUUUCACAUACUUCUUUGAUCUUGAGGGCAAUGUCGCGACGUCGACCACUUGAUUGAAACAAAAGCAAGGAGAUCCCAGGAAGGAACAUCCAUCUUCUGUAGGCUGUGAGUAUUUUCUUCAGCAUCCCCCAUUUUCCAUCUAAGAAUUGCAGAGCUCCAUUCAUCUAGCACGUCAUCCAUAUCAUAACAUACAUCUUUGAGCUUGUCUACCCAAUCUCUUACUGCCUCAUCCUUCACUUGUUUUCUAUCUGCAUCUUCAAGGACAGAGUGAAUAGCAAGGAGAUUGCUUUUCAGCUUGUCGACUUGUUUCUUCACACCCACUACUAGGUUCACCUCUUCUUGUACCUAUUAGUGUAGAAAAGAUAAGGAAGUUCAAGUAGAGGAAACAUUUCUAUGAUUUCACUGCAAAUUUUUAAUUUUAAUGUUUUGUAAUUAAUAGAUUAGCAGUAGUUGACACGUACUGUGAAAUGGAUUGGCUAUAUUAAUAAUUUAUAUAUAAAAUAUUUAUUAAAAACCUAUAUAUUAAAGAUAAUAAUAUUUCUUUUUAUCAUCAUCAUGAUGAUAUCUGUCUGCAGUCUGCUACUAACAAGAUGGAAGAUAAUGAAUCAUAAAAUUGUUCGACGUCAAACCUAUAAAUAACAUAAGCUUGCUGGAUCAAAGAAAUAUAGAGUAUAAAAGGAUCUGUAUUUGUUGGUAUUUGUAAAGUCUAUAGUUUUAAAGUGAAAAUAUUCUUCCUUUAUAACACUCACUAAUUAUUUUAACAUUUGAUUGAUUAUUUUACAGUUUAAUGAGAGGAUCGACAACUCCCUUUUCCUUCUAAGAAUAUUUGUUUUAGAUUAUUUCCGGAAAUAUGAAAAAUAAUAAUAUAAUAAAGAGAAAUUUCUUUAAUAAAAUACAAAUCUAGAUCUGAGGAUUUGAUAUUUUAUUUUAUUUUUCUUAUAAAGGAAGAAAAAAGACUUCAUUUUUAUAUUUCUUAUUCAUGUUAGGGCUAAUCAGAUCAUUGCAAAUUGUACGAAGUAAUUACCUCUUGAGCAACAAUCCUCGUUAACUGCUCCAAAAUUGGCGAUAAAAGUGCCGCUGCCAUCUGUCUGUUUAAUUUAAUUUAAUUUAAUUAUUUUUGAAAAAGAGACAAUGAUGAUAGGAUGAACUAAGAAAGAGAGAGAAGAGAGUCUGAGUGGAAGGAGGCUGCUGGUUUAUUAGUUAGUUUAUGUACUUAGGGUUUGGUGUGGAGGGUUGAGUUUUGUUUCAGUCCCUGUACUGUUUCUAACACUUCGAUUCAGUCCCUAUAUUAUUGUAGCUUUUCAGUCUAGUCCUGGUUGUAUGUUUCUACUGAGAAUGACAUGCCAUUUUGAGUUCCAAAGGUGAAAUACUCGUGCUUUUCUAACUUUUCCUGGCUAAGGAUUAUUAUUUGUGGAAAGUAAUUUCUUCUUCGAUAUAUAGCAGUUAUUUUGGAUUGAUACUGACCUUAGGUUAAGAAUGCUGAAGUUUCUAUUGAUUAUAGCAAUCUACUGAAAUCCCUGCUUCUCGUCUGCUUCUCUAUUUCUUCUCUUCAUUUUAUGUUAUUCCACUAAUCUUCCAAACUGGAUCAUGGUAAUAUAUAUCUGUCCAUCCAAACUAAUUUACACAAACCAAAAGUAGUAACCAAUUAGUUCUUGUGUAAUGGAAAUACAAACAAGCAUCUAUCUAUCUGGGUUUUUGAGAUCUGGUGAUUUUAUCCUGUUUUCAUAGCAGGGACUGGGGUUUGAUAUUGAUCUUUGAUUUUUGGGUCCGAAAAUGGAUGGUCCAGAUUUGUUGAGGUUGUAUGAUUGGAUUUGUUGAUGGUGCUUGAGAUGAUGCUGUAAAGUAUUUUCUUAUAUAUUUUCUGAUUUUCUGGAGGAAAGGAAAGGACUACAUCACCUUCCUAUCGAUUUUUCUAUCUGCAUCCAUAUACAUUUUGCAAUUAAGUCAUUAUGCUUUAAACUCAUUCCAUGUGCCUUCCCUUACAAGAAAAAAAAGAAAAAGAAAAAACAAGCCCAGGGUACUCAGCUUGGGCUUGGGUUCCCUCAUUAUGACUUGGUGAAUUGGGCAAUCUAAAUACUUUUGGGCUCUGUUUUAAUGGGUUCCAAGGGGAAGAAAACACAACGAUUCUUGAACAAGGAUUUGUGUCCCGUGCGCACUUGAACGAUGGGGGUCUGUUUGCAUUUUGUCAAAAGAGAUGAAAUUCUAAUCAAUGAUGAUGAUGAAAAAAAUAAAUAUAUAAAUUACUAUGUGCAUUCUAUAAUUUAGUUAUAUAAUAUAGUAGAUCUUUACAAAUUAGUAAUUUCAACUUACCAGUAGAAAAAUUAUAGUAGAUCUUUACCAUGAUAUUAUCGAAAUAAAUAAAUAAAUAAAAAUAGAUACACUUCAACACGUCCAUACACUCUUUACCAUGAUAUUAUGUAAAAUGUUAUUCUGAAGUGCCAAGACGGCUUCCUUGAAUUGCAAUAGUAUUUCGAUGUCUUGGUAGUUGAAUUUUUCUCAAUGAGCUCCAGGAAACUCUGUAAUUCUGAUUCUUGCCACCAAGUAACUUCAGGGCAGUCUGGAAAGGAUUUUCAAUGUACUUAUGUUCUUGAUGGAAUCUAAUUAUAAUUCUUAAAAACUUUUCAAUGUACUUCUGGCUUUUAAGCAAGCCUUGUCAGAACAAGAGUCUUGUGAUUAAAUUGUUUCUUCAACUCAAAUAGAUCCCUGAAAAUUAGAAAGGGGAGGCUUAUAAUUAAAUAAUAAAUGACACCAGGGGUAACAACUUAUACCCUGAUAAUCUACUAAUAGACUGACAUGCUGUAUCCAAGAAAUUAUUCCACCCCGUUUUUGGGCUGUGUUCAGAAAAUUAUUACAACCCAUUUUUGGGGUUCAACUUCGGUAUUGUUUAUUAUGUUGUUCGCCUUUUUUAAAUUGUGUUUUUUAAAAUAUAUUUUAUAAUCUUAAUGAAAAAAAAUAUAAAAAUAUAUUUUUAAUUAAAAAAUACUUUUAAAAAAGAUCAUAUCUUGCAUUACUAAACACACAUAUAAUAGAAUACUCGAGGGAUUUUUUUAUAAGCCAAGACUAAAUUUAUUAUUGCUAUUAUUUUAAAGUUCAUUCGUAUUUGUAUUAAACACAUACUAAUUUUCUCUUGAAAUAUGAAAGCAAAAUCCAAAAAAAAAUAAAAUGAAUGCUAAUCAAUAAAAAACAUAUGAAUUUUUUUUAUUUGAGAAUAAAGAAUUUUUUAAAUUUUUUUAUAAAUUAAUUAAAAUUAACCAUUAUUUACAUUAUUUAAGAGCAUUAAAGAAAUUUUUUAAAAAAACUUAACAAAUCUAAAAUUAGAAGUUAUUGUAGUUCUAAAUACUUCCGAGUAUUUAAUUAAUUUUAUUUUUGGAUAUGUUUUUAAAAUAUAUUUUAUUUAAAAAAUAUUAUAUUAAGUUUUUAAAUAUUUUUAAUGAUUUUUAUGUAUUAAUAUUAAAAUGGCAUGUCAUUCUCAGUAGAAACAUACAAUUAAAUUUCAUUAACAGCCAUCUCAAGUUCUAUACUAUCUUGCAAGUUGUAUAACAUCAAUGAAAAAUUUUUUAUUUAAAGGGGUUAAAAUGACAUCUUUUUACCAAAAUUGUUUUUUCUAAAAAAAAUUCAAUAAUAUUUAACCAAGUUUUACCCGAGUCCAUAUAAUUUGAAAGUAAUAAAUCAUAUCAAAUUUCUUUAAAUUAUUAAAUUGGAUCCUUAAUUUUUAAUUUGUCAAAUUAUUAAAUUGGAUCUUCAAUCUCUUUUAUAGGGGGUUUGGUAUCACUGCAUAACUUAAUUAUGACACUAUAUAUAGUGAUCAUUUGUGAUAAUUCUGUUGCAGAUUGAAAAUAUUUAGCGACACUAAAAGUGUCGUUAAAUAUGAGAGCCAUUACAUGUUGUUUUUUGUUUUUUGUAGUGCAACGAUAGUAAAACAUGAUGUUAAUUUUAGCAACACACCGUGACCAAAUGCAACGAAGAGAGUCGAAACCUAAUAAUCAAAGAAAAUUAGAUAUUCUAAAAUUGAUAUUGGAUUUUUAAAGAUUCAGAUAUUAGGUUAACAUCACAUUUACUAUAACCUUUUAAAUAAAAAAUUAUCAUUGUUUAUGUUUUUCUAAAUUAUUUUAUGCUAUUAUAUUUUUAUUUAUAAUUUAUUUAAGAAUAGACACCGGUUUCUUAGAAUAAAAAACUUGUAAAAUUUUUUGUCAUCCCUAAAAACCAAAGAGUCCAUAGCUUGUCAUUUUAUGACACUAGCCUUGCUAUGUAUAUACAUAAUCUCCACGGUUUUAAAAACCAAUCUCUAAAAUAGGAGAUUUCAUUAAUUUUUUUACAUUAAUCCCUGAAGACAUGCAGUAGAUUUUGUAAUUUCUUGAAUUUUAAUAAAAACUUUGAUGUUAAUCCCUUAAGAUAGAAGAUUUCAUCACUUUUUAAGAUUUAAUGAAAAUUUUGAUGAUAUUCACUAAAAUAGAAGAUUUCAUCAAUUGUUUCUUUGGCUGCUUAUCCAAGAUAAAGUCUUCAUCCGUGAUUUCUUGUUUCAGCAUGAUUUCUUUUCUCUUCAGCAAGCUAGAUGUAUGUUUUGUAAAAGAAGAUUUGAAACUUCAAGCCAUCUCUUCAUUCAUUGUGUUUUUGCCUGGAAGUUAUGAAUGAAAUUCCUAUUUUGGUGGGGGAAUUAGUGAUUCUUUCCCAAAUUCUAUUGAUGAUAUAAUCUACAAAUGAUGCAAGGAAAAUUUCAGAAUCUUUCAUGAUGACAACUUCUCUUUUCUUGUAUUGCAUGGAGUCUAUGGCUACAUUGAAAUGAUGUAAUCUUCAAUGAUGCUAUUCCAGAUCUUAAGGGUUGUUUUUACUUUAUCGAUCCUCCACAGGUUCUCCUUAUGGUUGAAGUUUGAUAGCACAACUUUUGCUUACACCGGUUUGGAUUUAGGGAUCAACUCUGAUGGGAUCUUUUUCGGGGAUAACAGAAGUUGACUUCUUGUUUUUAUCUAUUGUCUGGUCCCUGUUUUCUUCUUCCUGUUAUAGAGUAGAUACCGUGAUUUAGGGAUCAACUAAGGUUCACUGUUGGUUUCUAUGCAAGGCAAGAUUGAAAGUUCUGUGAAUAUAUGAGUUGGAAGGUUAGAGUAAAUGCUGGAUGGUAUUUUUGAUUUUUCCCUCUCAAUGGCGCUGCUCACCAAUAGCUCGGGUGUAUUUGUGCUGAUGGAGAUGGAACCGAAGCGUAUAUAUUGGCUUUUUUUACUUGCUAAAGAUGGCUAACUCAGUAACAGAAGAGAUUUUCUAUUUCAGCAUGACUACCUUACCCUUAAGGAAUCAAGAUGUGCUUCAUGCAAUAAAAGCUUGGAAUCUUCAAUUCACUUCUUCAUUUAGUAUCACUUCACUUUGAAUAUAUGGAUGAAAUUGCUUUUUAAUCAGGGCUUUUGUAGUGCUUUUUCAAAAUAUAUUGACAAUAUGUGUUACCAAUGGUCUUCCAUGGUUAAAGACAAGCAACAAAAUCUCUUAUAACAGCUUAUUUUCUCAUGUAUUGUAUGGAAUAUGUGGCUCCACUGAAAUGAUGUCAUUUUUAAUGACGCUGCCCCUAACCUUCAAAUCUAUUUUUUCAUGAUGCGUCAAAGUAUUGCUUCAUGGCUGAGGCUUCAUUCUAGCUUUUUAAAGCUUAAUAUAGAGAAUGUUCAGUAGGGAGGAAAUGAUUUUUUAUGUUUUUUAUUUGUUCCUCCUAAUUGUUACGCUCCCUUGUUUCAUGCAGCAGCUUUUAUGCUUUUUUUUUUCUUUAUUUAUUCAUCUAAUGUAAAUUAUGCUAUUAUCUUAAUACCCAUUUUCUUAAUAAAAAUUUCGAUUAUUACCAAAAAAAAAGAUGGCUAACUGUAAUUAGAAUGAUGGUAAAUGUUUCUUCUUUUCACAGUAACAAAUCUCUGAGACCUUACAUCUCUAGUUAAUUAUAACUACCUUACCGGUCAAAAUGUUCUUUUUCUGUACCUGAUGAGUGAUAUUAUUUCUGAGAUUUUUGAACAUGUAAUGACGGAAGCCUGCGUUGGACUGGUUCUCUUUGUUACGUUACUGGAGUCGCAAUGUUUCGAGUUAUCGGACCAAAUUAAUUCUCUUUCUUUUUGCAGCAAAGCUGUAUCUCUUGCUACUUGCUAGAGGCGUAAUCCCAGGCUACCACUGUUUUGGUGUUGCCUCUCUCACCAUUGUUAUUAGGUUGAAUUAAAUACCAGAAGAUUUCUGGAUGUGUAAUGACUGUAUGAUUAAACUUACCAAUGCACUGUCAAGGCUGUGGCGCGUCAACUGCAUGUGCCGGCGGGCGUCACCAUUGUUCCACCAUGUGCCGUUGUAGCCACUAAGUGGCCAAGAUUUUUUAAAUGAGAAGGUAAAUUACUAAUAAAUAUUUGAUAUUAUGUAUUAUGUAUACAUGCAUUAUAUAGAAAAAUCAAUUUGAAAUAUAUGUACUAACUCAUAUUAAAUGAAAUUAAUUUAAGAGUACUUUUAAAAUGAUAAAAAAAUUACAUUAUAAUUGUUCUUUUCGGGUUUUUAUAUUUUGAAACUGUUUCAUAAUAACUUCAUUAUCAAUCUCAUUAAAGAUAUUUUUCUAAAUUUAUAUAAUUAAAUUGUCAUUUAUCCACUUAUCUCCUAUCUUAUAUUGCAAUCUACUCUUGAAAACAUUCAUGACAGAUAAAACUAUUUUCACUAUAGCAGUUACAACUAGUAAAAAUAAUGACAAUUUGAUAAGUAUAUAUACCAAUAAAAAUAUUAAAUUCUUCUUUGUUUUUACCAUUUAAUUUCUCCUCAAGACUAGCGGCAAUAAAAAGUUCUCUCUGACUAGAAAGUUUCAAAUGGUAGAAGGUAAACUCUUUAAUAUUACAGAGGAGCUAAUGAAUCAAAGAAUCGAACAUAGAAAGUUUUGAUGGUAUAAACACAAACCACGGAAGCAGCAAUAAAAAGUGCUCUCUGGCUCUAUGGUUUCCUUCUUUAUAUGCGUUGAUUAGUUUUUUUUUUUGCCAUAGAAUAAAAUCAUCAGAUGUCCCUUUACUUCUUUAUCUGUUAAACAUGAAUAAAAGAAAAAUUUGAGACAACCAGCUUAUAAUUCAAACACCAAAAGUGUUUUUUAAUAGAUUCAAAGAUUAAAAAAAAUUACUUUGAACUUUGCAAGGAGAGAAUGUAGAUAGUCACAGUAGAACACAUUAAUAUAUUGUCUCUUGAUUUUUUAUCUUUUACAAAAUAUAACUUAAGUUAUUAUAUUAAUAUUUUAACGUAAAAAUUAAUUUUUUUUUUAAAAGAAGGGGGCAGCUGGCCCCUUAUGCCCCAGUGGCUCCGCCCCUGGCAGCCACCACCAAUUCCAGCAGCUCCAGCUUUUUUCUCCAUUUCCUCAUGUCCAAAUUUCAAGCUCAGCAUGACAUUUUGAGUUUAUUUUUCAUGAAUUAUGUUUGUAUUUUGACAAAUCCAACAAUUAUGAUUUGAUUUAGUUGUUUCUGGUUAUGGGACACAAUGUGGUUUUUUUUAUUAAAAACAAAAAACAGAGAGAAUGCAAGAAAGAAAGUCACAGCUACAUUUGAUAGAAUAAAUGUAAGUAGGAAAUAAAAUCCAACUCAAGAAUAGUUACAAAUGAGUUCAAUCCAUUUACAGAAAAAGGGUAUAUAAAAUAUAUUGGUCUGAAGAAUCCUCUGUCUGGAAGUUCUUUGAAUGGGGCUGUGAUGGCAUUUAGAAAGCAGAGGAACUAGGGGGCUUGUAGCAGAAAUCAUAUUUAUUGUUGAAGAUUUUUUUGUGUUCGGUUUAGAUAACUUUAUUUGGAUUUAAUCCACAAUGGGUAUCAUCUCUUAUAGAUGAAUGGUUAAGCUUCCAAGUCUACCAUUCUCUCAUGUAUUUGGAUUUAAUCCACUGAAACUGAGGUUUAAGAAUUUCUUGUUGUGAAUUGCAGAAAACAGUUGAUUGAUCUUCACUAGGAUGGCAAUUGGAAAUGAAUGGAGGAAGCAUCAAGAUCAGUGGCUUGUUUGAAGGCAGAUAGACCCUUUGAUCGUGAGAUGAUGCCUUUAGAUGAGAAAGGAUGUGAGAAAGGUAUAUCACAGCUGCAUUUGAUAGAAUAAAUGGUAAGUAGUUUGUUUUUUAAUUAAGUAUUUCAAUAUGGCAAAGAUAGGGUGUAAUUUACCAUACUUUAGUCUUAUUCCAUUCAAUAUAAUUAUGGAUACUAUAGAGCAUAUACGUACUUUGAUCUUAAUUAGUCCUUGGCUUAAAACGAAUUUGGUGCAGAUACAGAUUCUAAAGACGUCCAACUCCAACAAGCCCUAAAAGGACAUCAUUGGAUAAAUACCAAGGAGCUUGUGCAUGAGCAUUGUUUUGUUCACUCUGUGGCAGAGGCCUCUCCACAACUUCUCAGCAGGAAAGCUAUUAUUUAAGUUGCAACGCAGUGCGGUUCUAUAAACUAACUAGUUUAUAGCAAUUGCAAAUGAAUGGACCCUUUGAUCGUUAGAUUAUGCCUUUAGAUGAGGCUCGACAUUAUAGAGGCAUAAAAGAGAGAGAGAUACAUCACAGCUGCUUUUGAUAGAGUAAACAGGUCACAUAUUAUUUACACUCAACCUUAGCAAACACCAAAGCAAAUAAUUAAUACACUCAAAGCGAAAAAAUAAUGUGAGAAAUCUUUUACCAAACUGCACCCAUCUUCUCAUCCCCGUAACGAUUCGUUAGAAUGGGGCUCCUUCUUAUGAUUAAUUCCUGUAGAGGCGCUGCCAAAACAUAGUCUGGUAGUGCUCUCAACAACGGGCAAGUAUCAAUAAUCAACUCUUGAAGUUGUGUUGGCAUCUUCUUCUCCCACUCUCCUUUCAAUUCCAUCCCACUCUUCUACUUCUGUGAGAUCCAUAAUCCAAAGUUUUUUCAAUUUGGGGAAAGCAGUGACCCUUGCAAUUUCUCCUUCACUAAUACUGGCAUUCUCAUCUUUUUCUAUACCUAAAAAUCCAGCAUCCAGCCUUCUCACCUUCAUCGACCUCAAUACCAGGCUUUCAUGGUUGGGCAAUCUUCCCAACGGAGGCAAGACCUCCACGUUUGUACAAAGACCGAGUGUAAGCACCUGUAAUCUGGUUAAUGUCAUCAUCCAAUUUGGCAAAUCCAACCCUCCGUACCUAGUUAUGGUUAGAUUUUCCAAGGAUGACGGAGGCUGUAAAACUUCAAUUAAAAUGUUGUUCUCCCGGUUGAAGUUGAAAUCCAAUUGCAAACAAAGUAGGCGAUUCUUAUUCUUGAGUUGUACUUCUUUCAUUGUCUUUUUCUACUCUUUCAUAAUUUAAGGCACUUCUUUCUUCUUUUAGCUAGAAACAUAAUGCAGAUGCAGAGAGUGAAGAGUCGACAUGCAGAUGCAGGAACAUAGGAAGAGAGUUGUUUGGUUACUAAAAUAAGGGCUAGGGUUAUGAAAUCUGGAAAUUGAAAUUCGGAUCGAAAUUAGUGAGGAAAUCAGCAUGCUAGAUUCAGCAGCGUUUGGGGUCAGAAUGGCAUUGUUGGGAAUAAGACAACAAAUUAUGCGUAGCUUAGCAGCCAUUGUUGCUGCUUCAGGAACACCAAACUCCCUUGUCAAAAAACUGCAUUCAUAUGCAUUUUGCAAUUAAGGCAUUAUGCUUUAAACUCAUUCUAUUUGCCUUCCCUCACACAAAAAAGAAAAAAAAAAGGUUAUUUGCUGUCGUCACUGGAUUAGUUUCAAACCCAAAAGUCUCGUUGCGUUCUGUUUCAAUUCAGUCAGUCUUUAUUAGUCAAUGCUUCGCUGCACUGAAAAAACACCAUAUGCACCUCAUUGCAGAGUGAGGUCAUAUGUCCUACAAAAAUGGAUUUUGAACAUAAUAAUUAGAAGGAAAAAAAAAUUAAAAGUGAGCAUAAUUGAUCAUCGUGGAUAUAAUAAUAAUAUUUAAUAAAAUGAAUUAGCUUGUUAACUCCUAGAAGUUUUUAUAAAAACUAAUCUUGAAGUACAAGUAAUCCCUUCGCUCAUCAACUUCGCUGUGAAAAAGCCCAGAGUACUCAGCUUGGGCUUGUGUUCCCUCAUUAUGACUUGGUGAAUUGGGCAAUCUAAAUACUUUUGGGCUCUGUGUUUUAAUGGGUUCCAAGGGGAAGAAAACACAACGAUUCUUGAACAAGGAUUUGUGUCCCGUGCGCACUUGAACGAUGGGGGUCUGUUUGCAUUUUGUCAAAAGAGAUGAAAUUCUAAUCAAUGAUGAUGAUGAAAAAAAUAAAUAUAUAAAUUACUAUGUGCAUUCUAUAAUUUAGUUAUAUAAUAUAGUAGAUCUUUACAAAUUAGUAAUUUCAACUUACCAGUAGAAAAAUUAUAGUAGAUCUUUACCAUGAUAUUAUCGAAAUAAAUAAAUAAAUAAAAAUAGAUACACUUCAACACGUCCAUACACUCCUUUUUUAAAAAAUAAUUAUAAUAAAAUUAAUUAGUUAUUAAUUAUAAAAAUCAGACCUAUGAGUUAUGUCUAAGCUGUUGAAAAUAGUAAAGAUAAAGUAAUUAGAAGUGACAAUGAAAUUAUUAGUUGAUCAUCGAGUUGUUUUACUAGAAUCCAAAUCACUUAGCUCAAAUUACUAAUAACAAUUAUAAAUUUACACCAAAUUUGAACAAAUUUCUACCAGCCGAUGUGACUAAACUCAAAUCACUCCUAGGAAUCUUAAUAUAAACCCAUUUACUACUAGACCAGCACCUCUUUGGCUAAAAUCCACGUUGCUUUCCCACACCAAUCAUCAGCUUCUUCAAUUACAGUGCUACAAGUCCAUGUCUCUAUACCUAUUGUAACAUAUUCUACAAACAUACUGUUUUACUGUAGACUGCAAUGUUUUAAGUGUUUUUUUUUUAUUAAGUUGUUUUAUUUUUUUUAACGGUUUUUUUUAUGUCUUUCAGAAUAUUUUUUUUGCUUCGUUCUUUGUUUUUUUUUCUUUUAACAAAAGUUUUUUGUUUAAUUUAGUUUAUUAAUGUUUAAUUUUUUUAUUUAUUUAUCAGACUUUCAUGAUACAUUUUCCAGAUUUAACGGGUUAACCUGGUUUGACAAGUUAACCCAUAAUUUUUUUUUUUGCUUUUUUUAAAUUAAUUUUUUUGCUUUAGUUUAUUUUAUUAAUGUUAAAUUUCUUUCUAUUUAGUUAUCAGACUUUCAUGACAUAUAUCUAGAGUUUCACGGGUUAACACGGUUUGACGGGUUAACAUGGAUUUUUUAUUAUUUUUUUCUUUUUAAUUAAUUUUUUUCGUUUAGUUCAGUUUGUUAAUGUUCACUUUUUUUUUUAUUUCGUUACCAUACAUUCAUGACACAGAUCCCGGGUUUAACGGGUUAACCUGGUUUGACAAGUUAACCUGAAAUUUUUUUUUUUUGCUUUUUUUUUUUUAAAUUUAGUUUAGUUUGUUAAUGUUAAAUUUCUUUCUAUUUAGUUUUUUUUUCUUCAUAGAGGUUUUUUUCUUUUAUUUUUUCUUUUUAAUUAAUUUAGUUUAUUAAUAUUAAAUAUUUUUCUAAUUAGUUCUCGGCUAAUGCCUUUAGUUUUUCUUUUUGUUUCUUUUUGUUGUUUUUUUGCCUUUGACUGUGGACUGCACAAUGCAGUCCACAAUAAAAAGGUUGAUGCCUUUUGUUUUUUUUUUCUUUUUAAUUAAUUUUUUUUGUUUAAUUUAAAUUAUUAAUGUUAAAUUUUUUUUCUAUUUAGUUAUCAAACUUUCAUGAUACGAAUUCUGAGUUUGACAUGUUAACCUGAUUUGACGAGUUAGCCCAGUCAACUCAAUGAAUCACACAGAUAAAUUACACGGAAUCAGUAAAAUCAAAAUAAAACGUGUUAAUCUACUUUCUUAUGUUAUGAAAGGAGAUGAAUCCAACAAAAACAUAAUAAGCCACAGUUAAUUUUUUUAUCUUUGAGAUAAAAAAAUAUUUUUGAAAAAAUUAAAUUUUUUAUUAAUUUAUAAUUUAUUUAUAUUUUAAAAUAAUUUUAAUGUAUUAAUAUUAAAAAUUAAUUUUUAAAAACAAAAUUUUAAUUAUUUUUAAAUAAAAAUAUUUUAAAAAAUAAUUAUUAUUUUAAUACCAAAAACGCUUUUGCCUGCUUGGGAGUUAUGGUUGCGGUUGCUUUUCAAAAUGUUUUUUAUUUAAAAAUGUAUUAAAAUGAUGUUUUUUUUAUUUUUUUAAAAUUAAUUUUUAUAUCAGUGCAUCAAAAUAAUCUGAAAAAACUAAAAAAAUAUUAAUUUAAAUAAAAGAAAAAAAUUAAAAUUAAAUAAAUAUUUUUCAAAACGUUUUUAAAACAUAAAAACAAAUAGAAAUAAAUGCUAAAAUAGGAAAACAAACCAACUCUUUAUUAAAUGACAUUAUUUUUGAGAUUUUAUAUAUAUAUAUAUAUAUAUAUAAAAACUUUGGUGGACACACCAAUCAAUCCAUUCGAUUGGCCACCCAAUCUUGGGCAAGAUCGACCGUGGGUUGUAUCUUAUUACUAUGGUGAUAAGUAAUCACUCGAAAGUUCAAAACUAGCUUGACCCAUAAGAAUAUAUAUCGGAAUAAGUUAAGACUAUGAUGCCAACUUUAUUUUUUUAAAAAAAUAAAAGGCAUAAAUCAUUAAUAAAAAUCUAAAAGGUAUGAAAUUUUUAUUAUGUGUGUACCAUUGUUCACCCUUCCAUAUUUUAUUAUAGAUAAUCUAUUGUUUAAAAUUUUGUCUUUUUAAUCUGGGCCUUGAUUUUUUUUACACGAUUGCAUUCUUUUUUAACCAAAUUAAAAAGCAACUUUAUCAAAUUCGCCGACUACUGAUAAAAUUAAAAAAGAGAGGACUAAAAUAGAAAAGGUGCAAUAAAUGGAUGAUGAUUUCAAAGUUCACACAAAAAAUCAAUUUAGUCCUCACACUUUAAAAAUUAUACAUAUUCGAUUUUUCAAUAUUUUUUUAAAUUCAAUUUUAGUAUAAAAUUUCACUUUUGUUAUAUUAUAGUUCAUGGUUUGAGAGAUAAGAGAGCAAGGUCACCGGAUUCCAAAUCUAGACAAAAAAUAUUGUUGGCGUCGAUUUUGACCAUAAAAAUGAUCGAUUUAUAUGUCAAAUGAUUUCAUUUGAUGAUGGGAUUUCAGCUUAAGUGUUUUUUACUUUAAAAAUAUAUAUGGGCUCAAGAGAUUGUUCAUUUUUGGUUGAUUUUGAGUUUUGAGAUAGUUUUUUUUAUGUCAUAGACAUGUUUAUCAAAGUUCAUAUGUUUUUUUCUAGGUAUUUUGGGUAAAAAAAAAUUAAAAAUGAGUUUUUGAAUGAAAAAACCUCAAAUCUUGAUUUUUCUGCCACCACAAUAAUCAAAAUAUGAGGAAAAUCAUACGAUGCAUCAUCUAAUUUAAUUUUCUUUCAAAAAGAAAGGAGGGGGGGGGGGACUUUGCAAUGAAAGAGAAUUAUGGGUCUAAGCAUGUGGGCCUACCUUGACAGACUUGUACACGGGCCCUAACAAGAUUAGUCGAAUGGGGUGGCUCGGCUUGUCAAGCCUAGUAACACUUGAGCUUUUUUUUUUUUUUUUUAAAUUAAUACUUUUUUAUAUUCUUUUUUUCAAGUUUAAUAUUUUAUUUAUAAUUAAAUUAAUAUAUUUUCUCUCUUUUAUUUUGUUGAUAUAGCCUCUUUAAAAUUACAAUUAUUUUUUAAUUAUUUUGUAUGCAUUUAUUUUUAAAAUAUAUUAUUAUAAUUCAUCUAUAAAUGUUUUUUGUGUUUUAUAUGAAUAAAAAAUAUUUAUUUAUUUAUUUAUAAUAUUUCUAACAUGUGUAAUCUUACAUGAUAUUGUUUUUAAUUCAAUCAAUUUUACAUGUAUUUAUUUUUAUUAUUGUUUAAUUGAAUGAAAAUUUGAUUUUGAUAAACAAUGAUAUUUAAUACAAUCAGAUGAAAUGCUUGUAUUGUAAUGUUAAAGAUCUUGAUUUAUAUAUGUUUAUCGAUAUUUCAAUUUUAUCUUUAUUUAUUGUUAAUAAUAUUUUAUUUUUUAUUUUUUUAAUACACAUUAUUCUCAAUAUAUUUGAUUAUAUUUAUGCAUCAGUUUUUUUUUAUGCUUAUAAUUUUUUUUAUGUACAAAUACAUGUUGGAAAAAUCUUCAUAUAUCAUUUUUUUAUAUAUAAAAAAUAUGUUUGAUGCACUAACACGUGAGAGCUUUCACUUUUAAUUUGCAUAAUAAAAGAUUUGUUUUUGUCCUUUUUUUUUUUAUUGAUCCUUUUAAUAUUGCACUGAUCUUAUAUUGAUUUUUACGAUUUGAUUUUAUGCCAAUGAUGGGACCUUUUAGUGCUGGGGAAAUAUUACGUGCUUGGUUGAUUCUCAAUUUUUAAUAAAAUCAAAAUCAAUUGCAUUCGUAUAAAAGAACUAGAAAUUCAGGUAUUGGAAUUGAAAGACUAAAUAAAUGUGCUAUUCCUUUUGUUUGCUAACAUUGAGAAUUGAUUUGCAUAUUCAAUGAAAAAAAAAUCAAAUUCAAUUUUAGCAGUGGAUUGAUUGCCAUGAUCUAGCUAGCAGAAUUUGCUAGUGUUUUUUUAAUUAAUUUUUUAAUUUAAUCAUUUUAUAUUUAAAUUGUUGAAAUUUGACAUAAUAAUUUUUUUGUAAUUGCUUUGUGGGGUUAUUUUAACAUUAUAACUUGAGUUAUGGUUUUAACAUACUAAUUAAAGUUGAUUCGAAUUAAUUUUUAUAUAUUGAAUUAUAUAAGAAUUGAAUUUGUAAUUAUUCUUUUGCGAGAACUUUUUUAAGCAGGUCACGCUAACCUUUUUUUUAUCUUAGCCUGCAACGGCAUAACACGAACAAUCUAUCUAGUGUUAUUACUGAAAGAUCACAUGGCCAACCCAAAAAGUUCACGAAGAACACACAAUCAAAAACGCAAAAAAACAAAAGGGUUUCUUGAAUUUCAACCAAAGAAUAUAACAAAACCGAUAAAACAAAAUAAUAAAUGUUUACUUACAGAAGAUUCAUCGACUAAAAUAGAUGGCAAUUUCUUCUCAGUUGCAAUAACAACAACGUUUGCCGCUACAACACCAAAAAAAUAAUAAAAUCAACAACAUAGUACAUUCGAAAAUGACAAGAAAAUGAGAUGGUAGAAGAAACCAAAGCGAAGAGGUCACAUAGAGUAAAUGGUAAGAAUUAACACCAAAGCAAAUAAUUAAUACACUCAGAACCAAAUCUUUUACCGUUAAGAAUUAAUACUGGUAGAAGAAUUUACCUCUAUAUCAUCAAAAUUAAUAUUUGGGAUGUGAGAAAUCUUUUGCCAAUCUUCACCCAUCUCCUCCUUCCCGUAACGUUUCCUUAGAAUGGAGCAACCAUUUAUGUAUAAUUCCUGUAGAGGCGCUGCCAAAACAUAGUCUGGUAGUGCUCUCAACAACGGGCAAUCAACAAUCAUCAACUCUCGAAGUUGUGGCAUAAUGGAUAUUAUUGAAGUUGUGUUGGCAUCCCACUCUUCUACUUCUUGGAGAUGCCAAAAACCAAGAUGUUUUAAUUUGGGGAAAGCAGUGACCCUUGCAAUUUCUCCUUCAUUAAUACUGCCAUUCUCAUCUUUUUCUAUACCUAAAAAUCCAGCAUCCAGCCUUCUCACCUUCAACGAGCUCAAUACCAGGCUUUCAAGGUUGGGCAAUCUUCCCAGCGGAGGCAAAACCUCCAGGUUUUCACAAUCAAAGAGUUCAAGCCCCUGUAAUCUGGUUAAUGUCAUCAUCCAAUUUGGCAAUUCCAACCCUCCGUAACUAGAUAUGGUUAGAUAUUCCAAGUAUGACGGAGGCUGUAAAGCUUCAAUUAAAGAGCCUUCAUUCGCUUGCAACUCUGUUUUCUCUCUGUCGAAAUACAAUCGCAAACGAAGCAGGCGCUUCUUAUUCUUGAGUUGUGCUUCUGCAGCGUCACUCGCAUCUUCUUUACCUCCUCCUAGAUUCCGUAUAGUAAGACUCCCUCCAAUGUGAUUUAAGUCUUUUAAUUCUCUUAGAUUAGCUGCUUUACUUUCAUUCUCACCACCACCACACACAAUAAACAAAUCUAAUGUUUGAAGACAUGUUAUCCUCUCUAUUCCCUUUGGUAUGAAGACCACUCCUGAACCAAAAAUCCGGAGAUGCCUCAAUUUGAUAAGUUUUCCAAUCGUCUUGGGCAAUUCCUUGAGAGACCGACAGAAAGUAACAUCUAGGGAUUGCAGAUUGCAUAAAUCACAACUGGUUUCUGGCAGGGACUCCAACUCUCCACAUUGUGCCAAAUUGAGGUGUCUCAAAUGUAUCAAUUUCCCUACCUCGUUUGGUAUUUCUUUGAUUGAAGACCCUGACAAAUUCAAUGACCUGAUGCAUGUCAACUGCUUGAACAAAUCAGGCAGUGCAGCUCCAAGCGAAGGGUCUCUAGUGUCGAUCAAGAGGCUGCGAAGACCUUUUGCUUUGUGAAUGGACUUGGGAAAAGAGGUCUCCUCUGACAGCAUCAUGCUUAAAUGACGAACCCUUUCAAUUGAAGUCUCCAUUGUUGCUUCUCCAAGUGUAUUGACAUCCACUGUUAGACAUUCAUUUUUUGUCAUAUAUUGGGCAAAAUCAUGCACUAUAUCAUGCAUCUUGAAUCUAAUAUCUUCUCGAUCAUACGUCUCAAAAUCUUGGAAGAAAGAGCGCGCUGCCAAGACUUGAAAGUACUGCUCUCCUACAAGCUCCAUAUCUCCACCUGAAGUCUCCUUGAGGUAACCUUGAGCCAUCCACAUCUUCACCAAUUCAUAUUUUCCCAUCUCGUAGUCUUUUGGAAACAUGGCACAAUACAAGAAACAUCGUCUUACCACAGAAGGUAAAUCGUAGUAACUCAAAAGCAAAGGUAUAAAUAUUCGUCUUUCAACCUGAUCUCUAUCAACCUCAUCUAGCCUCCACAGUUCGCUAGAUAAAACACGAUCCCACUCUUCUCUUGUUCUUUUAGACUGCAUUAGACCUCCUAAUACCUUGGCAGCUAGAGGCAAGCCCUUGCACUUGUUUGCAAUUUUAUCGCCGAUAUCUGUCAAUCUUUCGCGCUCAUCUUCGCUUCUUUCCUGGAAUGCCACAUGAUUGAAUAUUGACCUGCAUAUCUCAUCGGACAAUUUCUCAAUGUUGAUCCGGUGGUCAGUUCCCAUCAUCGUUGCCACAGCGUCCUUACGAGUGGUCACUAGAAUUCUGCUUCCUCGUGCACAGCCUGUGAGAGAUGGUUUCAGUUGUUCCCAUUGUCCAUGAUUUUCUGUCCAGACAUCAUCAAGGACAAGAAGGAACCUCUUUCCCUUAAUGGAUUCAGAAACCCUUCGCAAAAGGGAUUGCAAUCCUACCAAAUCAGAUGCCCUCCCUUCAAGCUCCUCCAGGAUAGCUUUGGCUAUUCUAACCUCAUCAAAUGGUUCUGAAACACACACCCAUAUCUUUUUCUCAAAAUGAGCCGUAACCUCUGAAUCAUUAUAAGCUAGUUGGGCGAGAGUUGUUUUUCCAAUUCCUCCCAGCCCUACUAGAGAGAUGACAUCCACGUCCCGUGCUUCUUGACUACUUUCAGCCAGCAACUUGCUUACAACAUUUCUCUUUUCACCAUCUCGACCAAUCACGCUUGAUUCAUCAACAAAGGAGGUAGUUGUUAGUCGCUGGAGUUCAUCAGUGGCUUUGUACAGAUCAAAGCCAUACUUAGCUCUCUGUUUGGCAAUGUCAUCCACCUUUUCACAAACUUCUUUGAUCUUCAGGGCAAUGUCGCGACGUCGAACCACUUGAUUGAAACAAAAGCAAGGAGAUCCCAGGAAGGAACAUCGUAUCUUCUGUCGGCUGUGAGUAUUUUCUUCAGCUUCCUCCAUUUUCCAUCUAAGAAUUGCAGUGCUCCAUUCAUCUAGCACGUCAUCCAUAUCAUAACAUGCAUCUUUGAGCUUGUCUACCCAAUCUCUUACAGCCUUAUCCUUCACUUGUUUUCUAUCUGCAUCUUCAAGGACAGAUUGGAUAUCAAGGAGAUUGCUUUUCAGCUUGUCACAUUGUUUCUUCACACCCACUACUAGGUUCACCUUUUCUUGUACCUAUUAGUGUACAAAGGAAAAGAAACGUUAAGCAUAGGAAACAUUUCUAUGACAAUUUCACACCCCCUACUAGGUUCACCUCUUCCUGUACCUAGCUAUUAGUGUAGAAAAGACAAGUUCAAGCAUAGGAAACAUUUCUAUUUUGUAUUAAUAUAUUUUAUUGUGAAAUGGAUUUACUAUAUUAAUAAUUUAUAUAUAAAAUAUUUAUUAUAAAUGAUAAUAUUUCUUUUUUCUUUUUAUCAUCAUGAUGAUGAUAUCAGUCUGCACUAUGCUACUGUACAAGAAGGUAUAAAAUGAAUCUUAAAUGGUAAAAUGUAAACCUGUACGUAUGUAUAUAUAUAUAUAUAUAAAGAGUUCAAUGUUCUCACGUGAGAAGGAUUUCUCCUUUGAACCGACAUAAAAUCUGGUUUUCAUUUUACAUUAAACUAUAGAUAUAUGGAUGUAUAAAGGCAAGUGAAUAAAAGGAUCUGCAUUUAUAUAUUUGUGAAGUCAAUUUAGAAAUAAAGGCAUGAUAAUAAGAUUGUGUGAUAACUAUAUAGUUUUAAUUCACACCAAAUACUCACUCGCUAAUCCUUCGAACUUUUUAUUGAUUAUUUUACCUUUAAUAGUUCAGUUUAAAGAGAAUUGGCAACUCUUGUUCAUCUUUUUUGGUUUUCUUAUAUUUGGAAUGAUAUAUUUUCUUUAGGUUAUUUUUAGAAAUAUGAAAACUAAUAAAACUAGAAAAAUAAGUCUUUAAUAAAAUCGAAAUAUAUACUUGAGGAUUUAAAAUAUUAUUUUUAUUUUUUCAAGUUAAAAGUAUUCUUUUUAUGAGAGGAAGAAAAAAGGCUUGAACGUUAUAUAUAUUUCUUAUCUGUGCUUAGGUAAAUCAGGUUAUUGCAGAUGGCAGAAAAAUACCUGUUGAGCAACGAUCGUGGUUAACUGCUCCAAGAUCGGAGAUAGAAGUGCCUCAGCCAUCGUCUGUUUAGUUCUGAUUGGAGAGAGAGAGAGAGAGAGAGAGAGAGAAGCAGUGAUGAUAGGAAGACAGAGAGAAAGAGAGGGUGAAGGGAAGGAGGCGGCUGAUUGUGAAUGGAUUAAUAUACUUGGGGUUUCUCGUUGCAGGUGGAGUUCUUGCAACUUGUAGUUUUUUUUACUAGUGAAGCUUUGUAUUUAGUGUCUCCACAGAAAAAUAUUUUUUAUUUAGUGGCUGAAAGAUUCACAAUUUAUAUUAUAAUUGAUGAUUUUUAUUCUAUGAAAGAACAACAAAUAUAAUUAAAAUAAUAUAUAAAAAUUAUUUUUUAUUAUUUUUUAUUUUAUUUCAAAGUUUAUUAAACAUAAAAUAAUGUUUCGCUUUAAUUAAUGUUUCUUAUAUACUUUGUAUGUUUAUAUUUGAUAGGUAUAGAGAUCAACAACAUUAAAAUGAUGAAUACAUCAUGAAGUUAAAAUUAGCUUCAUUGUUUUGACUUAAUUUGAUAUUGCUCCAAACCUUUUAUAUUAUAUAUUUAUAAUAAGUUAUUUGAAUAAAACUAAAUCAUACUGGUUUUUUUUACAACUCAUAUAUAAUAAAUUAAAAUAAAUAUUAUAUUUUGUUUUAUUAUUUUUGGCCAUUCCAAAAAUAUCAAGGGAAAGUCUUCAAAUGCACAGAGUAAAUCGGAACCCACAGUGAAGUAGCUCUUCAGUAUCUUCUAAGCUCAAGCUGUCAAACACAGACCAAAAGCAAACGUGUCAUAACCAAAACAACCCAAUGAAUGGUAGAUGUUAAAAUGAGCAUUCCAUUUUCUGAAUGACAAAAAUCCCAGUGCCUAGCAAUGACUUACAUAAUUAAUUAAAAUGGAUUUGUUAAAAUAUAGUAAAAUAUUAGACCGUUUAAGAAUUAACACUGUUGGGUUUCGAUAACUUUAUUUGGAUUUAAUCCAUUAAAUCAAUGGGUAUCAUCUUUUAUAGAUGAAUGGUUUAGCUUCCAAGUCUACCAUUCUCUCAUUUAUUUGGACUUAAUCCACUGAAACUGAGGUUUUAUUUGUAAGUAUACACAUCAGGCUCAAGCUUAUCUUCUUGCAUCUGCUCAAAUAUUUCUUCUGCCUUCUCACAGAGUCCCUCUCUAGCAAACGCGUUCACCAGAGCUGUGUAUGUGCAGAUAUCUGGUCUGCAUUUUUGACUUCUCAUUUCGUUAAACAACUUCAAGGCCAUGUAAGAUUGACUUGCCUGAGUACAGGAAAAAGAUUAGCAAAAUGAGUUUUUAAGGAUCCUAAACACCACUGUUGUCCAGUUAUCAGAAUUUAUAACCAUAUCCUUGAAUUUAUUCUGAUAAUUGUUUGAAAUUGAAUGCAUAUAUUUCAAGUUGUUCGUUGUAUCACUGUAGACUCGUAGACGUACGAGUUACGCGUAAUUUUCUACUGGGACCAGUGGCAUUUCAAGAAGAUCAGAUUUGCAGAAUAAUUCAGAACCAAAUACCACUGAGCUUACCUUCCCAUGAAGGUUGAUCAACAGUGUAUAGGUGUCAGUAGAGGGCUGGCAGCCAUCAUUUUUCAUUCGCUGAAAGAUCUCAAUUGCUCUUUGAGGGUUUCCAGCCUUCGUUAACCCAUCAAUAUAAGCAUUGUAUACAAUUGCACCUGGCCAAAAUUAGAGUAUACGCUCACUUUUCACUCUUGAAUGUGCAUGCAAGUGUAUCAACAGAACAGCUUGAAAAACGAAAAUCUGAGAAGUGUAAAUAAGAGAACGAAACACAAAAGCAGAACUAAUGCCCUGUAUUUCACCACCACAAAAAGAAGAGAAAUAACCCACGCAAUCUCAUAAAGGAAAGCUACAGAAGCAAGUUUGUCAUCCAGGAGCCUCUAGCCUAAUCCAGUUCCGGUCUAGCUAAAUUAGCAAGGGGUCCCUCUUGGUUUAAUCAACCAUUCUCUAAGCAUGGUGAUGUAGAUAAGGAGUAGUAAUCACUACUAUUAUAGUAGCAACAAGAAAUAUGCAGACCAUGAACCAAUCUUCUCUUUUCCUACGUUUAGUAUACUUCACCCCCGAAAAGAAAAAAUAAAUACAGCUCUGUGCAAUUAUUGAGCGAGGUUUCAAAAUUUAAAACGAAUUUAACCCCACAAAAAAUCAAUUUUUGAGGAAAAGAAUCUUAAAAGUUGAAGAAAUUUUUGUUUUAUAAGAAAUGGUUGAUCCAAUAACUUCUUGAAAAUACAAUUUCCCUAAAAGCUAAGAAGAAAUGAAUUGGUAAACACAUACUUGGAGGAAGGCUAUACUUUCGCAUAUCAACAAAGGCAGCUUCAGCUUUUUCUAACAAUCCACAUGCACAGUAAGCCUUUAUAAGAAGGGCAUAAGUGUCUUCAGUAGGGAUACACCUGGCUUGAAGAAGAUCAACAUAUGUUUCUUCUGCCUUCUUGUACAAAGAUUUUUGCCCAUAAGCAUCUAUUAGUAAAUUGUAGCACAUGACAUCUGUCUGGAAGGAGCUCUUGUACAAUAUCCAUUGACAUAUCUGGAAAUUUUAGAGUUACACCCAACAAGAUUAUUAAGAAUUAAGAACAAACGAUAUCAAAAAUGUCUAUAUAAUAAAUAGAGACAGUAAAGAGAUUUGUUUCAUUUAGUUGUAGGAAAAUGCUGGUAUAUGAGAAUUCCAAACACCAACUGCAGCACCAACCACUUAAAGGAGAUUUGAACAAUCGAGGAUUCAGUCUUAAUGGUUGAAGAGAAAAAUACUGUGCAAAAUACUGUGCCACAAAAAUAUGUGCGUGCAAGGUGGUUUAAUCCAUCGCCUACCACCUUACACUAUGAAAGAAAUAAGGCACGAUUUACUCACCAAUGCAAUCGGAUCCCAUUGUUUAUUCAAACGAAGUUGGACGGCUACAUUAAUAAGAUCAUCCCAAGUCUCGUGAGUGACAGGAAGAGUAUCAAGAGCAGCCCAAACAUUAUUCGGAUCCACUUCUUUCCGCACAAAGUUCAGAAUCUGAUGAGCAACAGGACUUAGCACGGGAAAAUUCCAUCAACAAAUCCAGAUCCAUAUUUCCAUCCUUGUCCCCUCAAAGAGCCACCUAGGUAAAUUAGACGACUUAAUAAUUAAAGCCAUAUUUGCUUGAGAGUUAUAUGUAUGAGCACAAAGUGAAUUACUCCGUAUUACAUCGUUUCCUGGACAUCUUUUUGUGAUCAAAGAUUCGCCAUUUGCCAUGUUUGUCGAUAUAGACCCUGUCGCUUUUCCACUUUUUAACAUCUCCACUACUGGAAUUCUUUUCUCUGCGUCUGAAAUGACCAUUCCGGAUUCUUGAUUCUAUAAAAAUAUGAUUCAGAGUGCAUCUAACAAGCAACCUGCAAACACUAAUCAAGUAAACACACAAUUGCCAGCAACAAAAUACACACCUCUUAAUUUAAAGCCAUUACACGGAGGAAGCAACCAAAUAAAAUCCAUAUAAAGGAUGCUUUAGACUUCAAAAUAAUUGGACAAAGAGAGACACUAAAACUACUUUUAAUCACAAUAGCAAACACAUGAAAUGCAAACCAGAAAACCUAGUUAAAAAGAAGAAGAAAAGUAGUCAACUUUCCCUUUCUAAACCAAAUAUCUUCUCCCUUUCUUCCGCAAUAAUUCUUAACUGCUGUGAGUAUAGGUUGUAUUUUCAUUACAGAAUCAAAUAUUAGUCUAAUCUAUCUGAUUAAACUACAAAAAUCAAAAUUUGCAAGAUAAACAAGGCCACAACUGUUGAAGACUGGUUAGAGUUCAACAACGAUAAGCAUAGCACUCUGACAGCUAAAACUGGUCCAUCAUCUUAAAACUUAUGAAGUCACAGUAAGACUUUUUAGAUAAUGAUGAUUGCUCGUUCAAUACAUAUGAGAGCCAACAAAAUGCUAAAAUGUUUAAUUAACAAGAACAUAAAACAAAUUAGACAUCCUCUCUCAAGUGAACGUUGAUACUUAGCAAUUCCAUUGAAACCCAUUUCUCAGAACCAGAAAUUCCAUGAAAAAGCAAUAUUAUCCAGCAAGAGGAGAAAGAACCACCAGAAUUGAAGUUAAUAAAUACAGAAAAUAACAAGGCAGCAUGAACAGCAUUAGCAGUGGCAUUGCAUUACGAAAGAGAGGAAGGAAGGACACGACUUACAUGAAAGUAUAAAAGAGGAGUUUGGAGUUGGGUAUCUGUAAACAUCCAGCAAGCAAGAAGAUAUGUGAACUGAAGAGUGUUUUCUUGGAUAAUGGACUCCGUGGGUGAAGACCAGCACUGCCAGACAAAAGUAGCUUCUGUUUUUUUCUGUUUACUAAGGGACAAAAGCCUCAAAAUAUCUCUAACGAACUUAAGGAGUCAAACAAUAGCAUUAUUGUAGCCUCGUGGUGUCUGAGGUUGCAUGGGAUUCUAUAUUGAGACAGUAGCUGAUUAUACAAUGGUUGAUUUAAAAUAACCAACACUACCUUUUUAUACAAAGUGGGAUUGAUGAGGAUAUAAAUCUACACACUCCAACAUUCAAAGUCCCAAUCUUAGAGUCAUUGAUUAGUAUAGUAACGCCUCAUUGGCAAGAACCCAAAUCACUAAGCUCAAAUUACUAAUAAAAAUUACAAAUUUACACCGAAUUUGAACAGAUUUCUACCAACCGAUGUCACUAAAGAAAACACAAAAAAAAAAAAAAAACGCAAAAAAACAAAAGGGCUUCUUGAAUUUAAACCAAAGAAUAUAACAAAACCAAUAAAAAAAAUAAUAAAUGUUUACUUACAGAAGAUUCAUCGACUAAAAUAGAUGGCAAUUUCUUCUCAGUUGCAACAACAACACCGCUUGCCGCUACAACACUAAAAAAAUAAUAAAAUCAACAACAUAGUAUCUAAGCACCCAUCAACAACAUAGUGCAUUCGAAAAUGACAAGAAAAUGAGAAAAGAGAGAGAGGGAGCUUAAAUUGCACCAACCUUUGAUUCCGAGAGAAGUUUGGCCUGAUCCAACGGCAGUCAAUGCGUGCUCAAUCUGUACUAGCUUUCCGGUAGGACUGAAAGUAGUGAGAGAAAAGGAGUACUGGCUAUCACCCAUGGUUUAUUGCUUGAAGACGCAGAGAGGAAAAACUGUGAAUGCGAGUGUGUGGGAGGGAAAGACAGGGAUAUUUACUUGGGGUUUUAACUUUGCUUUUCUCGUUGGAGAAGAAGGUGUUUUCUUACGAGGGCUUUUACAAUGGAGUAUUAUGGGAUUUUAUGACGGCAGGUUGAUCCUCUGUACAUUGAGCUCAAUGAAGGCUCGGGACCAGUUUUGUUUUCAAGUAUUAUUAACAAAUAUUUAUUUAUUUAUUAAUAUACAUAAUUUUUAAUUUAUUUAAUAACAUUUAUAUAUAAUUUUUAAUUUAUUAUAUUUUUGAACUAGAAAAAUAUAUUUAAAGAACUGCAUAUAUAAAUUUUUAUAAAAAAUAAAAUAUUUGACUCACAAUAAAUUAUCCAUAUUUUUAUUAAAAAAAUAAAGUUGGGUAAACUCUUAAUUAGGCCUUGCUACUGAAUUUUGUUGUUGAUUUGUAAUUUAAUUAUUGUUGAAGAUUUUUUGUGUUAGGUUUGGAUAACUUUAUUUGGAUUUAAUCUCCAAAAUCGAAGAGUAUCAUCACUUAUAGAUGAAUGGUUUAGCUUCUCUCAUUUAUUUGGAUUUUAAUCCACUGAAACUGAGGUUUAAGAGUUUCUUGGAUUUAAUCCACUGAAACAGUUGCUUGAUCAAGAUCAUUGGCUUGUUUGAAGGCAGAUAAAGGCAUACAAAAAAAAAGCGAGAGAGAGCGAGAAAGAGAGGAUGUGAGAAAUAAUUAUAGAUAUGAGUUACAGUAGUUGAAACAAAUGAAUUACAGAUCAUUUUAUGGUGAGAGAGAAAGAGAGAGAGAGAGAGAGAAUGUGAGAAAUAAUUAUAUCAUCUUAGAUUACAGAUCAUUUUGAGAAAAUCUAAAAGAAAGUAUCAUCUUAGAUUAAUUAUAGAUAUGAGUUACAGUAGUUGAAAUUUCAAAGGCAAUUUUUUAGAGUAAAGAGGAAAUAAUAUGUUGAGAUGAUGCGAGAGCCCAAUUACAGUAAAGAGGUCAUAUAUUAUUUACACUCAACCUUAGCAAACACCAAAGCAAAACAAAUUAAAUUAAUACACUCAAAGCAGGUUCUAAAGAGUUGUGCCAAUCUUCACCCAUCUCCUCCUUCCCGUAACGUUUCCUUAGAUUGGGGCAACUCUUUAUGUGUAACUCCUGUAGAGGCGCUGCCAAAACAUAGUCCGGUAGUUCUCUCAACAACGGGCAAUUACUAAUCAUCAACUGUCGAAGAUGUGGCAUAAUGGAUAUUAUUGAAGUUGUGAUGGCAUCUUCUUCUCCCACUGAUCUCCUUUCAAUUCCAUCCCACUCUUCUACUUCUGUGAGACUCACAAUUUGUUGUCUCCGUGGACGUACCCGGUUUUUGGGAACCACGUAAAUCUGUUGUUUGUGUUUUAUUUGUGUUUGCUUUUGGUUCAGUAUGCAUAACAAAUUGGUAUCAGAGCGUUUGGGAAGCUAGAACACUGAAAAAAACACGUUUUUCAGCUCUCGGAUCGAAGUUGCAGAAUUUUCAAAGUUCUCAGAUCUUGAUUUUGACCACCUACAGAGAUUCCUCUCGUCGAUACGAGUCCGGCAAUAUAAAGAUCAUCGAAAUCGGAGUUAAAACGAUCCCUGUAGAGCUCGCCGAAGUUUCGCCGGAAAACUGCCGGAAAAACCAGACUGCCGGAAUUCUUGCCUGAGAAGACUGCCACGUCAUCCGCCACGUCACCAAACAGUGACAGAAUAUGCUCUUGACAGAAUGAGAAUAUUCCGUUAACAGAGACAGAAUAUUCCUUUGGCAGUGACAGAAUAUUCUCUUGACAGUGACAGAAUAUUCCCUUGGAUUUGACAGAAUAUUCUUUAUCAGAGACAGAAUAUUCCUUUCCUGAGUCAACUCGGUCAGAUUUGUUUUUUGGCCAACUCAGUGAUUUUAUAUCCCGUUUUUUGGCCAAGUUAAGCUUGUUCCUAGCAUUUUCAACCGUUCCGGACGCAACCGUGGUGUCCGUUUUGUGAAACAGCACACAGAAGUUACUGUUUUGGCUCUUUUGAGCAUAAAAUUGUGUGUUUUAACAAUUUCGGGAGUCCAUUUGUAAUCUAAAGGCGUCCUAAUGGCUGAUAUUCCAGAAGAAAAAUCAGCGGGGAAUGCUAGUAUACCUCCACAAUACAUCCCGGUAUCGAAUACCAAAUUUGAGGUGGAGAAGUUUGACGGGAAAGGUAAUUUUGGCAUGUGGAAAUGUGAAGUUAUGGAUAUGCUUGUCCAAAUGAAUUUGGAUUUCACUCUAGAAGAUAAACCAAGAGGAUUUGGAUGAGAAAAGCUGGGGGAGGAUAAAUCGGUUAGCUUGCAGUUCCAUCCGACUUUGUCUUGUAAAAGAUCAAAAGUACGCCUUUUCAGAACAAAACUCUGCAAAGGAAUUAUGGCAAGCACUGGAGGACAAGUUUAUGAAGAAGAGUAUAGAGAAUCGUCUCUACUUGAAGAAAAGAAUCUUCCGUUUUCAGCACAAGAAAGGUACUUCCAUGAAUGAGCAUCUGAAUGAUUUCAAUAAAAUGAUAGCUGAUUUGAAGAAUUUAGAUGUGGAAAUAGAUGAUGAAGAUAAAGCUCUGUUAUUAUUGAAUUCACUGCCUGACACAUAUGAACAUCUCGUCACCACUUUACUGUAUGGUAAAGAAAAGAUUAAAUUCAUUGAUGUGUCCAAUGCUUUGGUGAAUAAUGAGUACCGGAAGAAGGACCAGAUUGUUCACAAGGAGUCAACGUCAGAAGCAUUGACAGUUAGAGGCAGAACAAACCCUAGAAGAUUUCGAGGGCGAGGGAGAUCUCGCUCAAAAUCUAGAGGAGAAUCAUCAAACAGGCGAUAUCUUGCAAAAGAUGAGUGUGCCUUUUGUCACAAAAAGGGGCACUGGAAGAAAGAUUGUCCAAUCAAGGGCAAUAAGGAAAAAGAUGAACCAACUGUGAACGUUGCACGAGAAGAAGAUGAACGAGACUCUGCAUUCAUGGUCUCAUCACCAGAAAAACAUUGUGGUGAAUGGAUUCUUGAUUCUGCAUGUUCUUAUCACAUGUCCCCUAACAAGCACUUAUUCUCGAGACUUGAGGAGUUCGAUGGAGGAGUUGUGUUUAUGGGCAAUAAUAAUGUUUCUGAGGUCAAAGGGAUUGGGACUAUCCAUCUGAAGAUGCAUAAUGGGGUAGUCAAGACACUAACAGAGGUACGGUAUGUACCUGACUUGAAGAAAAAUCUCUUCUCACUUGGAGUCCUAGAAUCCAGUGGUUAUAAGAUUAUCAUGCAUGGUGGAGUCCUCAGAGCAAUCCGUGGUGCAUUAGUUGUCUUAAGAGGCACGAGGAUAGGAAACUUAUAUUUCCUAGAUGGAUCUACUGUUACUGGUAUAGCAGCUGUUUCCAAAAGCCUAGAAGAUGCUGAAGCAGAUAAUUCCAGACUUUGGCACAUGCGCUUAGGGCAUGCUGGUGAAAAGGCUUUGCAAGGACUAGUCAAGCAAGGUCUAUUAAAAGGCGCCAAGACUGGGAAGCAUGGGUUCUGUGAGCAUUGUGUUCUUGGAAAACAGACAAGGGUCAAGUUUGGCACUGCAAUACACAACACAAAAGGGAUUCUAGAUUAUGUUCACACAGAUGUAUGGGGACCUUCAAAGAAUGAAUCUCUUGGAGGUAAUCGUUGGUUUGUUACUUUUAUUGAUGAUUUCUCAAGACGAGUAUGGGUGUACAUGAUGAAACACAAGGAUGAGGUCCUUGAUAUCUUUCUGAAAUGGAAGAAAAUGGUGGAGACUCAAACGGGAAGGAGAGUUAAGACUCUUCGGUCAGAUAAUGGUGGUGAGUACACUUCAGAUCCUUUCUUUGAAGUUUGCCAGGAUGAAGGGAUCAAGCGACAUUUUACUGUGCGCAAAACACCACAACAAAAUGGAGUAGCAGAACGCAUGAACCGCACAUUGGUGGAGAAAGUCCGAUGUAUGCUAUCACAUUCGGGACUAAGCAAAGUGUUCUGGGGCGAGGCAUUAAGCUAUGCCGUCAUAUUGUUAAUCGGUUACCUUCAGCAGCAUUAAAUGGAAGAACCCCCUUGGAGGUAUGGUCAGGCUCUCCUGCAAAUGAUUAUGACUCUAUGCGUAUAUUUGGUUGCUCAGCAUAUUAUCAUGUUACUGAGUUAAACUAGAUCCUAGAGCCAAGAAAGCUAUAUUUUUGGGCUUUAGUGGAGGAGUAAAAGGUUACAGACUCUGGUGUUCUGAAUCAAAGAAAGUGAUUUUGAGUAGAGAUGUCACUUUUGAUGAGUCUGGCAUGUUACAGCAGGAGAAAUCACAGGAGAAGGAAAAACAGUCUGGUGAUGCACAACAGGUGGAGUUGGAGACUUCAGUCAUCCCUAUAAAGACUGUUCAGACAAUCCCUACUGAAGGAGAUUCAGAUGAAAGUUCAGAUGAAGAGGAUGCAACAACUCCAGCAACCACACAACAAGAAUCCAUUGCAACGAGUAAACCGAAAAGAGUUAUCAAGAAACCUGCUCGGUAUUGUGACAUGGUGGCUUAUGCACUUCCAGUGAUUGAUGAUGGAAUCCCCUACACCUACAAAGAAGCAGUACAGAGUGUAGAAAGUGCAAAAUGGAAAGAGGCAAUGGAUGAAGAGAUGAAAUCUCUCCACAAGAAUCAGACUUGGGAUUUGGUACAACUCCCUAAGGAAAAGAAGACAAUUGGUUGCAAGUGGGUAUAUGCCAAGAAGGAAGGUAAUCCUGGAAAAGACAACAUCCGAUUCAAAGCAAGAUUGGUAGCAAAAGGCUAUGCUCAGAAGGAGGGGAUAGAUUAUAAUGAGGUAUUCUCUCCAGUUGUUAAGCAUUCAUCAAUUCGUAUUUUGCUAGCCUUAGUUGCACAAUUUGAUUUGGAGUUAGCCCAACUUGAUGUGAAAACUGCCUUCCUACAUGGAGAUUUGGAAGAGGAAAUUUACAUGUCUCAGCCAGAUGGUUUCAAAGUCACUGGGAAAGAGAAUUGGGCUUGUAAACUGAAGAAGUCAUUGUAUGGCUUGAAACAAUCUCCUCGCCAGUGGUAUAAGCGAUUUGAUAAGUUCAUGACAGAACAUGGAUACACACGGAGUCAGUUUGACAACUGUGUAUAUUUUCGCAGACUUCUUGAUGGUUCUUUCAUCUAUUUGCUCUUAUAUGUGGAUGAUAUGUUGAUUGCAUCAAAGAGCAAGGUGGAGAUUGAUAGACUGAAAGCUCAACUGAGAACUGAGUUUGAAAUGAAGGACCUUGGAGAAGCUAAGAAGAUUCUUGGCAUGGAGAUUCAGAGAGACAGAAGAAAAGGCACAGUCUGUUUGACACAGACCCAAUACUUGAAGAAACUUCUACAGAGAUUUGGGGUAGAUGGUAAGACCAAGCCGGUAAGCACACCUUUAGCUCCUCAUUUUAAGCUAAGUGCUUCAAUGUCUCCACGCACAGAGGAAGAGCGCAAACAUAUGGCUCAAAUUCCGUAUGCAAAUGCAGUUGGUGCAUUAAUGUAUGCAAUGGUUUGUACGAGACCAGAUAUUUCACAUGCUGUCAGUAUGGUGAGCAGGUAUAUGCAUGAUCCGGGAAAGGGUCACUGGCAGGCAGUUAAGUGGAUUCUACGGUACAUUCAUGGCACAACUGAUAUUGGUUUGAAGUUUGAGAGGGAUGAUAGACUCGAGCAAAAUUUAGUUGGUUAUGUGGAUUCGGAUUAUGCUGGUGACUUAGACAAGCGUCGUUCCACAACAGGCUAUGUGUUUACACUUGCUAAAGGGCCUGUAAGUUGGAGGUCAACUUUACAAUCAACAGUAGCUUUGUCAACAACUGAGGCAGAGUACAUGGCAGUAACAGAAGCUUUCAAGGAAGCUAUUUGGUUACAUGGGUUGAUUGAAGAUUUGGGAAUUGUUCAAGAGCACGUGGAUGUCCAUUGUGAUAGUCAAAGUGCUAUUUGUCUUGCAAAGAAUCAGGUUCAUCAUUCCCGCACCAAGCACAUCGAUGUUCGAUUUCAUUUUGUUCGAGAAAUUGUGGAUGAAGGGGAUAUUCUGCUACAGAAAAUUGUACUAUAGAUAAUCCAGCUGACAUGCUCACAAAAUGUGUCUCAGGGAUCAAGUUCCAACAUUGUUUGGACUUGGUCAACAUCUCUCGGUGUUGAGCACCUUCAGGGUGCAAUGCCAUAUGGCGCAAUGGAGGCGGCAUUGAUUAAUCACGAGUAUUGGAUGGAAAAAUCUUGCAAAGGUGGAGAUUUGUAGCAAAUUGUCAACAUUUGAAAAUUGUCAACAUUUUUCUCAACAACCCUCUCCUUUACUCAACCACUAUCAACCACCCUCUCCUUCUUUUUGACCAUUAUCACUUCUCAUCAAGGUGCUGCCAAAGCUCUCCUAUAAAGACAGAGACGAGAGAGUGCAGGGUAGAAGAGAGGAAGUGUCAAGUGCAGAGGAAGUGUGGUGAGUGCAAGUGAGUGCAACUGUGAGAGUGAAAAAUACAGAUUUGAGAGAAACACAGAGUGUUAGAGUGAAACACUGGGUUUUGUGGGGAUUGUAUUGGGGUUGAGUUGAGUGUUUGUAUUAUUCCUCCAAUAAUAUACAAUCUGUUGUCUCCGUGGACGUACCCGGUUUUGGGAAACCACGUAAAUCUGUUGUUUGUGUUUUAUUUGUGUUUGCUUUCGGUCCAGUAUACACAACACACGUUUCUACACUAACGGAGUGUAAGCACCUGUAAUCUGGUUAAUGUCAUCAUCCAAUUUGGCCAUUCCAACCCUCCGUAACUCCAUAUGAUUAGAUUUUCCAAGUCUGACGGAGGCUGUAAAGCUUCAAUUAAAAUGCCGUUCUCCUGGUUGUAGUAGAAAUCCAAUUCCAAACGAAGCAGGCGCUUCUUAUUCUUGAGUUGUGCUUCUGCAGCGUCACUCGCAUCUUCUUUACCUCCUCCUAGAUUACUUAUAAUAAGACUCCCUCCAAUGUGAUUUAAGUUUUUUAAUUCUCUUAGAUUAGCUGCUUUACUUUCAUUCUCACCACCAGCACACACAGUAAACACAUCUAAUGUUCGAAGACAUGUUAUCCUCUCUAUUCCCUUUGGUAUGAAGGCCACACCUGAAUCAUAAAUCCGGAGAUGCCUCAAUUUGAUAAGUUUUCCAAUCGCCUUGGGCAAUUCCUUGAGAGACCGACACCAAGUAACGUCUAGGGAUUGCAGAUUGCAUAAAUCACACAUGGUUUCUGGCAGGGACUCCAACUCUCCACACCAUGCCAAAUUGAGGUGUCUCAAAUGUAUCAAUUUCCCUACCUCGUUUGGUAUUUCUUUGAUUGAAGACCUUGUCAAAUUCAAUGACCUGAUGCAUGUCAACUGUUUGAACAAAUCAGGCAGUGCAGCUCCAAGCGAAGGGUCUCUAGUGCCGAUCAAGAGGCUGCGAAGACCUUUUGCUUUGUGAAUGGACUUGGGAAAAGAGCUCUCCUCUGACAGCAUCAUGCUUAAAUGACGAACCCUUUCAAUUGAAGUCUCCAUUGUUGCUUCUCCAAGUUUACUGGCAUCCACUGUUAGACAUUCAUUUUUUGUCAUAUAUUGGGCAAAAUCAUGCACUAUAUCAUGCAUCUUGAAUUUCAUUCCUUCAAACCAAUGCCUCUCAAAAUCUUGGAAGAAAGAGCGCGCUGCCAAGACUUGAAAGCACUCCUCUCCAACAAGCUCCAUAUCUCCACCUGAA